GAUGAACGCUGGCGGCGUGCCUAAAACAUGCAAGUCGAGCGGUAAGGCCUCUUCGGAGGUACACGAGCGGCGGACGGGUGAGUAACACGUGGGAAUCUACCCCAAACUGAGGGAUAAGCACCGGAAACGGUGUCUAAUACCGCAUAUGGUCUUCGGAUUAAAGCUUCGGCGGUUUGGGAAGAGCCCGCGUAAGAUUAGCUAGUAGGUGAGGUAAAGGCUUACCAAGGCGACGAUCUUUAGCUGGUUUGAGAGGAUGAUCAGCCACACUGGAACUGAGACACGGUCCAGACUCCUACGGGAGGCAGCAGUUAGGAAUUUUCCACAAUGGGCGAAAGCCUGAUGGAGCAACGCCGCGUGCAGGAUGAAGGUUUUCGGAUUGUAAACUGCUUUUAUACGUGAAGAAUAUGACGGUAACAUAUGAAUAAGGAUCGGCUAACUCCGUGCCAGCAGCCGCCGUAA
Molecule: ribosomal RNA, 459 nt
Filed under: uncultured bacterium
Lineage: Bacteria
Description: partial 16S ribosomal RNA
Rfam family: Bacterial small subunit ribosomal RNA
Source: RNAcentral